GAGGGGAGGUUUAAACCAACAAGAACUGCUAAUUCUCGUGCCUGAGCCUAAAACCUCAGUCCCCUUA
RNAcentral lists this transfer RNA (67 nucleotides) under Chalcostigma olivaceum. RNAcentral describes it as "tRNA-Ser". Lineage: Eukaryota; Metazoa; Chordata; Aves; Apodiformes; Trochilidae. The record is from RNAcentral.